GCCAUCAUCGUCUAGCCUGGUCCAGGACACCGCCCUCUCACGGCGGGAACUCGGGUUCGAAUCCCGAUGGUGGUA
Molecule: transfer RNA, 75 nt
Filed under: Minisyncoccota bacterium
Lineage: Bacteria; Bacillati; Minisyncoccota
Description: tRNA-Glu
Rfam family: tRNA
About the family: Transfer RNA (tRNA) molecules are approximately 80 nucleotides in length.
Source: RNAcentral